Coregonus clupeaformis (lake whitefish) is the source of this 2703-nucleotide long non-coding RNA. RefSeq lists it as uncharacterized. Lineage: Eukaryota; Metazoa; Chordata; Actinopteri; Salmoniformes; Salmonidae. The transcript is spliced from 2 exons. The record is from RefSeq and is a predicted model, not a curated record.
UUAAUCGGACUCUGGGGAGGUAGAUAAAGGGCUUCAUUGUCAAAAUCCUGAAGUAUCCCUUUAAUGGAAGUUAGGAUUUGCCAAAUCAAUCUCAACUGGAUGUUUUUCCGUGUUAUUUCUUAUGUAAUUUUUACAGCAGCAAUGUUUUAUAAUAACCCAAACAGCUCUUACUCUGGCAAGAUUGUUUUCUUCCAACCCCCUUAAUUAAUUUAUUCUUCACUUUUUGAAGAAUGUGUUUUGUAUCGCAUAAUACUGUGGGAAUUGUAUAUAUCUACAUAUUAUAGAUUGUAUUUUAGAAAAAUGAAAUUUUAAAUGGUUGAAUGUGUUUUGUUUAUUGUUGUUGUUUAUAAAUAGGUACAGUAUAUUUUUUAGACUAAAGCUGGUACUAACCACCAUAACCCGUAUUUGAUAGCCUGGUUCCCGAAUCUGUUUGUGCUGUCUUUGCAUUGUUCCACCUGAUAAUUAAUUGCACCCACCUACUGCCCCAGGUCUAAAUCGAUCCUUGAUUUGGCUAUGUUAUAGGAGUUGUCAAGACAGCACAAACAUAUCUGGAACCAGGCUACGUACCUCUCUUAGGUUGGAAAUGUGAUUUCGGGGAGAAAUGAUCCAAACCAGUGUUAUCUACGGCUUGUUGUCUGGAAGAAAUGAUCCAAACCAGUGUUAUCUACGGCUUGUUGUCUGGAAGAAAUGAUCCAAACCAGUGUUAUAUAUGGCUGGUUGUUUGUCUGUCGUACGCUGAGAGAAUUAUGUUUUAAUGUUUUUACAUAAUGUGUUUAAUUUAUUUAACUAUAUAGUUGUAGGUAAUCUAAACAUGUCUUGUGAUUGUUGUUGUUCAUCCCAAUGUGAUUUGUUCAUUCUCUCUCCAGCCUCCCAGUCAGCCUAAAAGCUGGUUUAUACUAAAGGUCAAACAACAUGUCUGUGUGUACCUACUGGAAUGUGACGUGUCCACAGACCGUCUUUAGACCGACUGUAAAUCGACCUUAAGUUUGGAUCAUCUGCUACCAUAUAGCAGCAGAUUCAUGGAAUGAGUUUAUUCCUGUUGUAGCUCACUGAAAUGAGUUCUAGAAGGUUGUAGCUCACUGAAAUGAGUUCUAGAAGGGUUGUAGCUCACUGAAAUGAGUUCUAGAAGGGUUGUAGCUCGCUGAAAUGAGUUUAUUCCUGUUGUAGCUCACUGAAAUGAGUUCUAGAAGGUUGUAGCUCGCUGAAAUGAGUUUAUUCCUGUUGUAGCUCACUGAAAUGAGUUGUAGAAGGGUUGUAGCUCGCUGAAAUGAGUGUAUUCCUGUUGUAGCUCACUGAAAUGAGUUCUAGAAGGUUGUAGCUCACUGAAAUGAGUUCUAGAAGGUUGUAGCUCACUGAAAUGAGUUGUAGAAGGUUGUAGCUCACUGAAAUGAGUUCUAGAAGGUUGUAGCUCGCUGAAAUGAGUUUAUUCCUGUUGUAGCUCACUGAAAUGAGUUGUAGAAGGGUUGUAGCUCGCUGAAAUGAGUUUAUUCCUGUUGUAGCUCACUGAAAUGAGUUGUAGAAGGUUGUAGCUCACUGAAAUGAGUUUAUUCCUGUUGUAGCUCACUGAAAUGAGUUCUAGAAGGUUGUAGCUCACUGAAAUGAGUUCUAGAAGGUUGUAGCUCACUGAAAUGAGUUGUAGAAGGUUGUAGCUCACUGAAAUGAGUUCUAGAAUGGUUGUAGCUCGCUGAAAUGAGUUUAUUCCUGUUGUAGCUCACUGAAAUGAGUUCUAGAAGGUUGUAGCUCGCUGAAAUGAGUUUAUUCCUGUUGUAGCUCACUGAAAUGAGUUGUAGAAGGGUUGUAGCUCGCUGAAAUGAGUUUAUUCCUGUUGUAGCUCACUGAAAUGAGUUCUAGAAGGUUGUAGCUCACUGAAAUGAGUUCUAGAAGGUUGUAGCUCACUGCAAUGAGUUGUAGAAGGUUGUAGCUCACUGAAAUGAGUUCUAGAAGGUUGUAGCUCGCUGAAAUGAGUUUAUUCCUGUUGUAGCUCACUGAAAUGAGUUGUAGAAGGGUUAUAGCUCGCUGAAAUGAGUUUAUUCCUGUUGUAGCUCACUGAAAUGAGUUGUAGAAGGUUGUAGCUCACUGAAAUGAGUUUAUUCCUGUUGUAGCUCACUGAAAUGAGUUGUAGAAUGUUGUAGCUCACUGAAAUGAGUUUAUUCCUGUUGUAGCUCACUGAAAUUAGUUCUAGAAGGGUUGUAGCUCACUGAAAUGAGUUGUAGAAGGUUGUAGCUCACUGAAAUGAGUUCUAGAAGGUUGUAGCUCGCUGAAAUGAGUUUAUUCCUGUUGUAGCUCACUGAAAUGAGUUGUAGAAGGUUGUAGCUCACUGAAAUGAGUUUAUUCCUGUUGUAGCUCACUGAAAUGAGUUCUAGAAGGGUUGUAGCUCACUGAAAUGAGUUGUAGAAGGUUGUAGCUCGCUGAAAUGAGUUUAUUCCUGUUGUAGCUCACUGAAAUGAGUUGUAGAAGGGUUGUAGCUCGCUGAAAUGAGUUUAUUCCUGUUGUAGCUCACUGAAAUGAGUUGUAGAAGGGUUGUAGCUCGCUGAAAUGAGUUUAUUCCUGUUGUAGCUCACUGAAAUGAGUUCUAGAAGGUUGUAGCUCGCUGAAAUGAGUUGUAUCCUGUUGUAGCUCACUGAUAUUUCAAUUAUGAGGCAUGAGAUGAUUGUAAUAUUUUUGCUAAAAUGUUGAAAACAAUAAAAUAUUUAUCUAGUUAAA